Molecule: ribosomal RNA, 486 nt
Filed under: uncultured bacterium
Lineage: Bacteria
Description: bacterial SSU rRNA
Rfam family: Bacterial small subunit ribosomal RNA
Source: RNAcentral
GACGAGCUGGCGGCGUGGAUUAGGCAUGCAAGUCGAACGGUAGGAUACCUUCGGGUAUCUGAGAGUGGCGAACGGGUGAGUAACACGUAGGUGAUCUACCCUCAAGAUUGGGACAACCCAGGGAAACUUGGGCUAAUACCGGAUGAAAGCAGCAGUGAUGUUGUUUGAAAGGUGGCGUAAGCUGCCGUUUGGGGAUGAGCCUGCGCUCUAUUAGUUAGUUGGCGGGGUAAAGGCCCACCAAGGCGAUGAUAGAUAGGCGGCCUUAACGGGUGGUCGCCCACACUGGGAUUGAGAUACGGCCCAGACUCCUACGGGAGGCAGCAGUCGAGAAUAGUCUACAAUGGCCGAAAGGCUGAUAGUGCGACGCCGCGUGAACGAAGAAGCCCUUCGGGGUGUAAAGUUCUUUUAUAUGUGAGCAGUGCUUUCUAUGUGAACAGCAUGGGGAGAGAGAUAUUAGCAUAUGAAUAAGCAACGGCUAACUCCGUG